UUCUUCUUCCUUCUUCCAUUUCUUCUCCUCCUCUUCUCUCGCAACGCAAGAAAAGGAGGAGGGCUCGGGAAAGACGGGUAACAGCUGACGGCGCCCAGCGGCCGGCCUACGGCACCCACGACCGUGCUUGCGGUUGUGCCCGUGGCCACGCUGGCAUCCCACGUCCCACGGCCGACGACCCGCGGUUUCGGCUGUGGAUCAACCAUCGGGCGUUACCUGCUUUGAAGAAGAACGUCCGCCUCCUACUCCGGCAACGCAGCCCUUUGCUCCGGCGACGCAGGCCUAAUACCAAAUCUUGUCAACCGGGGAGAGUUGUGAGGAAGGGAGACAAUGGAGGAGAAACAGAGGAAGGAGGGUGGUGAAAAGCCUUAUCGAUCGGGCUUCUUGUAGCCUCUGAUUGCUGGGGAAGGCGGACGGUUGUAACCGCCCACCAUCAAGCGAUUACAAAUGCCCGCCCUUUGGUGUGAUGGCCUCUCCCCGUUUCUGAGUCAGAAACGGGGACGGUUAUCACAGCUAUAGCUUCUUCUGAAUUGGCAUACUUUUCAACUCGAGCCAACAGCUUAGUGCAGUCCUUUGAGAACCUUUUUUCUAGAGAGAAAAGGAAACAGGAUGGCCUCAAUCUACAAUUCAUAGUGAACUUAGCAACCAACUGAUUUAUGUCACAAACUUCUAUGUAGCCAUAUCAAAGCACCAUAAUAUCAUCACAAAUAAGAUCCCAACAUCUCUUGAAGAACACAAAUAUAUAUAAACCCAUGCAAACCAGGGGUCUUCAUAUCUCCAAAGGAGAAGACUGCUGCUUUUUUUUAUCUCUUCAAGUGUAAAUUCAUUAUCCAACUCACUAAGAACAAUCGACUGAUUCCAAUACAGAGUUGAUUGAUAAUUUGGGAUUAGAAGGGAGCCCAAAUAGGACUUCAGGUAUGAAAGAAGUUUAAGUUUGAUAUCCUCUUGGUUAUGAUACUCCACUCCUUCAUCCAACAAGCAUGAGAUUAAAUUUCUUCUUUUUCUUCCUAGGGCUACUUUAUGGAACUAUGAUGAGUUCUGGUCCACUUUUUGUAGCCAAGUGAUUUUAUCCCUUUGCCUCCAAUAUAACUCUUCUUUUGUAUAUAGGUCUUCCAAUGGUUGCUUCAAAAUUCUUCUCGCAUUAAACUCGUUCACCAACAGGGCUGAGAUUUUCUCCUUCCUGUUAAGAAUAUUCACAUCAUGCAACAAAUUUUCCUUCAGUUCUCUAUCGGAAUUUCCUUUUUUUUAGAGUGAGACCAAGUUCAAAGAGCAGAAUGGGCUCUCCUAAGGUUGUCGACCCACACAGCAGCAGGAUUGGUGAUCCCUUUGACUUUCUUCCAACGACUCACAAUAAUGUCAUCUAGGUCCAGCUCCUUCGUCCACCAUGCCUCGAAUCUGAAAAUGUUUGAGCAUUGAAACUUGAAAUUGCAGGAUAGAGCAACAGUUACAUGGUCAGAGAAGGUGCAAGUCAAAGCCUUCUGAGUAGAUCCUAGAGUAAAUCCUCCCACUCAGCUGAAAGGAGGAAUCGAUCAAGCCGUGCGGUGGAUGGGUGCUCUCUUCCAUUGCUCCAAAAAAAGUCCCGCCUUUUAAAUCCAAGUCAACCAGACCAAGAGAAGAGAUGACGUCCAUAAAUAAAAGAUUAUCCUUUAUGCUUUGAAGAUUACCUUUUCUAUCUUCAGCGGACUCCGUGAUUUUGAAGUCACCUCCAAAGAGCCAUGCACCUCGUAAACCGUGAUGUUGAAUAUCAGUGAAUUCAUGGAGGAAUGAAUCUCUGAGUGCUCUCUUAUUGGGUCCAUAGAUUGACGAUAAGAUCUUUUUUCAAGGCAUGUUAAUGAAGGAUGCCCCCUGGUGAUCCGUCUGCAUCCAAUUGAAUUUGAGCCCAAUCAUCUAACCUGGAUCCACCCAAAGAACGGAGAAACAAAGGAGAUUGAGAAGCAAUUUUUGAUGGUAGCACUACUGAAAAUUUGAUUUGAAACACAAAAGUUACAGUCGCCCCCUCCCCUACUACUGCUGGCGGAAUAAGGUUACUAGUUGCUUUGGAUAAGCUUUCAAGCUCCAGGCCAGUCCCUAUGGAUGAUUUUAUUGCAAUGUGCACCGAUCGAGCUAACAGCAUCUCUAAAUUGUCUUCCGCGGUUGGAUGUUCUGAGGGUGUCCAGUGACAAGAAAGAAUAGUGGUGAAUGAAGGCUUUAAACCGGUGACAUCCGGUGGAUCACUGUUCCAAUUCUUUGUGAUAAAACUGGAUGCUCUCAAGCAGGUAAAAGAGCUUUGAGCAACGUUCUUUGAUGUUCUAAGCCUAGCCGGAUUGCACUACUCUAAAAGGAGAGAAAAUAUAAAGGUUGGUUCUACAUUUCAUUAGAUGAUUUCAUCUAGAUGCAUGCAAGCUUGCAAGUUCAUGUCUUCAGACGUGUGCAUAUUUGUUUCCAUUCUUUGAAUGCUAAAUAAACAAAGUGGCAAAAAUUCCUUA
Molecule: long non-coding RNA, 2465 nt
Organism: Phoenix dactylifera (date palm)
Lineage: Eukaryota; Viridiplantae; Streptophyta; Magnoliopsida; Arecales; Arecaceae
Source: RefSeq, a predicted model, not a curated record